RNAcentral lists this ribosomal RNA (395 nucleotides) under uncultured archaeon. Its description in RNAcentral is "bacterial SSU rRNA". It matches the Rfam family "Archaeal small subunit ribosomal RNA", at positions 1 to 383 of the family's 1478-position model. The record is from RNAcentral.
UCCGGUUGAUCCUGCCAGAGGCCGCUGCUAUCCGGCUGGGACUAAGCCAUGCUAGUCUAGGGGCUUGUACUCCUUCGGGGGUGCAAGCACCGGCGGACGGCUCAGUAACACGUGGACAACCUGCCCUCGGGUGGGGGAUAACCCCGGGAAACUGGGGCUAAUCCCCCAUAGGUGAUGGGUGCUGGAAUGCCCCAUCUCCGAAAGCGCUUAGCGCCCGAGGAUGGGUCUGCGGCGGAUUAGGUAGUUGGUGGGGUAACGGCCCACCAAGCCUAAGAUCCGUACGGGCUGUGGGAGCAGGAGCCCGGAGAUGGACCCUGAGACAAGGGUCCAGGCCCUACGGGGCGCAGCAGGCGCGAAACCUCCGCAAUGCGGGAAACCGCGACGGGGUUAGCCGG